RNA transcript from Mus musculus (house mouse), 3145 nucleotides. It is a transcript of the gene named arrestin domain containing 2, with no coding region annotated. The record is from RefSeq and is marked provisional. Lineage: Eukaryota; Metazoa; Chordata; Mammalia; Rodentia; Muridae. The transcript is spliced from 8 exons.
UAAGAAACAGUCAGGUACUAAGGCAAACGCCUAUCAAGUCAGCUCUGGAAGACUGGUGGAGGAUGGCAAAUUCAACAUCGGGCUUGGUUAGAGUACGAGAUGCAUUGGAGGCUAUGUGAGACUUGGCCUCAGAAGAAAAUAAAGCUUUCGGGUUCAGAAAUCCGAUUUGAGCUUUAAUUCCAGCACUCGGGAAGCAGUGGCAACCUCGCCUCUAUGAGUUCAAGGCCAGCCUGGUCUACACAGUGAGUUCCAGACUAGCCAAGGGAACACAAAACUACUGGCCAAUCUUGUAAACAGAAGCAGGGGGACUGUCUCAAGUCCCAGGUAAGUUUGGGCUACAUGAGAACCCGUCUCAAAAAGCAACAGAAAAAAAAAAUAGUGACAGUUGUCACGCUGGGUGACUAAGACCAGUUUCCCUAUUCCUGGGCUUCCUUGUUUGUGUAUUUGCGAGACCUAAGGCGGCAGAGCCGCGCUGCAGCACCUCCCACUUAGGCUCCGGUUCAGAACCAAGCAAGGGUUAUUUUGUCUGGAGCCUCGUGAGGCCACGCCCCACCGCGCUAUUGGUGAAGUUCUUUCCGGUAGGCGAGGCUUUCUCUAACGCCCCGCCCCGCCCCGCCCCUCGAUGCUACUGACUUUCUCGCAGGAGCUGAUUUUGCCCCCUCAGACCACGCCCUUCACACGCUAUUGGCCUGGUCCCUUGUAGGGGGGGGAGCUUUCUAUCAGGCCACCGCCCUCGUGGAGCCUUUGGCCUAAUUCUCUCAGCAGAACCAGGCUUUUUCAGGCCCCGCCUCCUCAGCGCGCUAUUGGUGGAGUCUUCUCCUGAAGGUGUGGCUUUCUCCUCAGGCCAUUCCUUCGCCGCGCUAUUGGCCUAGUCUUUUCUGGGGUCCCGUUCCCUACUGCUGUGUUUGCGGAGUCUCUUCCGGUAGGUGCGGUCUUCUCCUCAGGCCCCGCCCUCCAACCGUCCUAUAAGUGCGACGCAGCUGCGGGUCCCCAGCGGUCUUCCGUCCUGUUGUCCCGCUUGUGUGUGUACGUAGUUCGAGCCCGCUGCGUUCGCAGUCUCUAGCUCUUUCUUUUCGCGGGUUCGAGCACCUGGCCGAUCUCUUUUUUGGGUUCGCGACCGUCACCGCAAUGCUGUUCGAUAAGGUGAAGGCGUUCGUAGUAGAGAUAGACGGGGCGCGCACGGGCACCGAGCCCGUGUUCCACGGAGGCCAGGCCGUGGCAGGCCGGGUACUGUUGGAGCUUGCGGGCGCGGCACGCGUGGGCGCGCUCAGGCUGCGCGCUCGGGGCCGCGCGCGCGCGCACUGGACGGAGUCGCGCAGCGCGGGCUCCAGCACUGCUUAUACUCAGAGUUACAGCGAGCGCGUGGAAGUCGUGAACCACCGCGCCACGCUGCUCGCGCCAGACUCGGGGGAUAUCGCCACGCUUCCCGCUGGACGCCACGAGUUUCCCUUCAGCUUCCAGCUGCCUAUCUCCCUGGUGACAUCCUUCGAGGGCAAACACGGCAGCGUCCGCUAUUCCAUCAAAGCCACUCUGCACCGGCCAUGGGUCCCUGCACGCUGCGCCCGGAAGGUGUUCACUGUCAUUGAACCUGUGGACAUAAACACACCUGCCCUGCUGGAACCCCAGGCUGGAGCCCGGGAGAAGGUGGCACGAUCCUGGUACUGCACACGUGGCCUCGUGUCCCUCUCGGCCAAGAUUGACCGCAAAGGCUACACUCCAGGCGAGGUCAUCCCUAUCUUUGCGGAGAUUGACAAUGGUUCCACGCGAGCUGUGCAGCCCCGUGCUGCCCUAGUACAGACACAGACCUUCAUGGCCCGAGGUGCCCGCAAGCAGAAGCGUGCUGUGGUGGCCAGUGUGGACGGGGAGCCUGUGGGCCCGAAUCGCCGUGCGCUGUGGCCCGGUCGUGCGCUGCGUAUCCCCCCGGUGGGCCCGUCCAUCUUGCAGUGCCGCGUGCUUAGUGUGGACUACUCACUCAAGGCUCGUCCAAGCUGCUGCUGGAGCUGCCUCUGGUCAUAGGCACGGUCCCCCUGCAUCCUCUGGGCAGCCGCUCCGCUAGUGUGGGCAGCCGCGCCAGCUUCCUGCAAGACUGGGGCCUGUGCACCAUGAUGGAUCGGCCAGAGGCCCCACCUGAGUACUCCGAGGUGGUGAGGGAGAGCCAGCUGGUAUGUGCGUCACCGGGGCCCUCCUCCCUCCUACACGACCUAGGUGUGACCACAGAAGGGCCCUACUUUGCCUGUCUCCAGGAGUUCCGCUACUGCCCGCCUCCUCUGUACUCCGAGGAGGACCCUAACCCACCCUCAGAGGCUGUGAGGCCACGCUGCAUGACCUGCUGAUCCAUGGGCUGACAACUUCGGUACCAGGUUCACACUCUUUGGCCAUGAAGUCCCGCCAUCUGCUUUGGGAACACAGGGUUAAAUGAGGCAAUGUGUCUCCCAACAUUGCAAAGGAGCAGCAUGGCUUCCAAGGACAGUCCAUCUUCUCAAAGCUUCUGGUUCUCUGCGUUUAGACCCACCAACGAGGCUGUGGAGCAAUGCUCGGCUCCUCUAGGGAACUGUAGUUUGGGAGAGAUGAAUCUAGGAAUGGACACUUCCAGUCUCAAGGAACCAGAACCAGCUAGAAGUCCAGAGGGGAGACAGAAGACUUCCAAAGGGCAUUUCGGCUGAGGCUUUGAGAUAUGAACAGGAGCUCAGCAAGCAGACAAGCACAGAGGAAAUGGUCAGAGCAGAUAGCGCCCAUUCCUUCUUCCUACGGUUGGGAGCCCAGGCAUUAAGGUGUCUUAGACAUGGCCUCACUGUGAGGUUAGCAGGGCAGAGGGCUCAGGGACAGACACAAAGGAGAAGUCAUUGGGACCUGAAGGUCCAGAGGCUCCAGCUUUUGUGAACUGGUGGCCCAGGUGAACCCAGAGCUGCAGUUGUGAUCUGCCAUGUUCAGAACCUGCAGCCUCCCUCAGGGGUCAGGAUACAGACAAGUACAUCGCAAGGAGAACAGGCAACUGGGGCAGCUGGGGACAUCACAAGGAGAACAGGCAACUGGGGGCAGCUGGGCAAAUCCCCCACAUCCCAGACCUGCCAGGGACUUGCCAUUUCAAUGGUCUGAAGAAUUGUUCACUUUUAUAUAUUAAAUAAAUAAAAAUGGGAGGAAGACA